ACUUCUGGCUUUCACACAAAAGACUUCCUUCACAUAACUGACAAUCCUUCAUUAAAAGUUCAAAUUUAAGCACCGAUUAGAAGCCCUCUGGGUGUAGCGACAGAACUUAUCAACUGGUAGAUUUUGUUGAAAGGUCAUUAGGAGGCACAUGGUCAUAUGCGUAAUUUCUUUUCCAAGGACAGGUCAGAUUUCUCUGCGAUAUCCUGUUUAAAGGUCUAGCAUGGCUGCUACUGUCCUGGAAGUUGGGAGCUCAGAAUUGUACUAUUAACCUUGAUGACUUUUGUUUCUUAGUCCUUACCACUUACCACCCCUGGUGCCCAGUGUGCCUGGUAUGCAUGAGUCCAAAGGCCUCUCCAGAAAGUAAACUUCUCCUCUUAUGCCAAAGUGGGAGAGGAACAGCUGUUUGGAUGCAUGGGAUGGAGAGGAAGAUCUUGAAUUCUAAACACUUUUCGUUAAAGACUUUCAACCAUGUUCCUCUACCUUCAAUGGAACAUGAUAGCUCUUGAUUCUGCAGGAAAAUCUGGCAGGAGGAAUGGGUUGGCUUCCCCACUGCGGGCUUAGUUUUCAGCCUUUUUUAGUGUGCUAAGCGAGUUAGUGUAUCAGCUAUUGUUAUAUAAAAAAUGACCCCGCGUAUUCGUGGCUUAACACAUUUAUGAGUCUAUGAGUCCAGAGUCUAUGGACCACUGCAUGAUUCUUUUGCUUCUGGCUGGGCUUCCUUAGGCAUCUGAAGUCAGGGGCAAGCCUGGAAGCCAGUUUUGCCAAUCUUGGCUGAGUUCACUCACAUACUUGCAGUCUUGCUGAACAACUGAGCUGACUUAGUUCUGGCCCACAUAUUCUCUCAUCUUUCAUCAGAUUAGCCUAGGAUUGUUCAUGGCAGAGGCAGGGGUUCCUAGACUCAGAGCAGAAACCCACAGGCAUUUUGAAGUCUAGGCUGGAACUAGUAAACUUUUACUCUGUUCCUUUCUAUUGAUCAAAGCAAAUGAUGAGGCCAGUUCACAUUCAAGAAGCAGGGAAACAGACACUACCUCUUGAUGGAAGGAUCUCCAAAGUCAUAUUUCAAUGGCACAGAUAAAGGGAGUAAAGAAGGACUGCAGUUAACUUUUGCAAUCAAUGGAUCAGUUUUUCAGCAUCCAAGAUGUUGACUUCACUUGCCAGCAGUUAUUUCUAUUUCUGUUUUCAUUGUUGUGGCUUAUGCAUCUUUAUUUCUUUAUUUAUCCACGUAUACAAACAACAUUUAUGGACCUACUAGGAUACCAGACACUGCUGGAUGUUCUGAGACUACAGACAUGAAUAAGACAGUCAAAAUUUUCCCACCUCCAACCCCAAGAGGUUUAUAUUCUAGGUAAAGGAGAUAGACAUAAACAAAAUACAUAAGUGACAAUUACAGUUUGUUCAAAGGUUACAAAUACUAUGAAGAAAAAUAAAACAGAGGAGUGGAAUAGAGACAGCUAGAUGUAUGCAUUCUUAAAUAGGAUCAUAAUUGCCAUUUUGUGAGACUUAAAGAGCAAGUAGAAAUAAAUGUGUGUAUCCAGUCUGCAAAGUUUAAUCUGAAAUUGCUCCAAUGAAAUAUCAUGCAUCCAUUAAAACUAUGCUAUGGAGACCAUUUGACUUCCAGUCAAGAUAUGUUAGACAUCUAUGCUUUAAGACACUGACCCUACUUUAAUCACACAACCGUGAUAGGUAAAAUAUAAAAAGAGAAAACAGAGACAGCCUAAACCCCUUCCAACAGAAGAUCAUCAUUUUGUGAACCAUACUCAAAAUAGAAAUACAAACCAGAAAGUACGGUGAAGAUGUAGAUGGUCUGGGACCUAAGCCAGAUUCACUGUUCAAAUCCAGGAACUGGAAUAUUGUUUCCUUUAUGGGGAGUUCCUGUUGUGGCACAGCUGAUACAAAUCCGACUAGUACCCAUGAGGACUCAGGUCCAUUCCCUGCCAUUGCUCAGUGGAUGGGGGAUCCAGCAUUGCCAUGAGCCAUGGUGUA
RNAcentral lists this long non-coding RNA (1980 nucleotides) under Sus scrofa (pig). RNAcentral's name for it is "lncRNA (ENSSSCG00025057656.1, ENSSSCG00030010483.1)". Lineage: Eukaryota; Metazoa; Chordata; Mammalia; Artiodactyla; Suidae. The record is from RNAcentral.